RNAcentral lists this ribosomal RNA (435 nucleotides) under uncultured bacterium. RNAcentral's name for it is "bacterial SSU rRNA". It matches the Rfam family "Bacterial small subunit ribosomal RNA", at positions 29 to 507 of the family's 1533-position model. The record is from RNAcentral.
AACGAACGCUGGCGGCAGGCUUAACACAUGCAAGUCGAACGGUUGUAGCAAUACAGCAGUGGCAGACGGGUGAGUAACACGUGGGAACCUUCCUAGGGGUACGGAACAACUCAGGGAAACUUGAGCUAAUACCGUAUACGUCCGUGAGGAGAAAGAUUUAUCGCCCUUAGACGGGCCCGCGUCGGAUUAGCUAGUUGGUGGGGUAACGGCCUACCAAGGCGACGAUCCGUAGCUGAUCUUAGAGGAUGAUCAGCCACACUGGGACUGAGACACGGCCCAGACUCCUACGGGAGGCAGCAGUGAGGAAUCUUGGACAAUGGGCGCAAGCCUGAUCCAGCCAUGCCGCGUGAGUGAAGAAGGUCUUCGGAUUGUAAAGCUCUUUUGCCAGGGACGAUAAUGACGGUACCUGGAGAAUAAGCCCCGGCAAACUUCGUG